Molecule: ribosomal RNA, 467 nt
Filed under: uncultured bacterium
Lineage: Bacteria
Description: partial 16S ribosomal RNA
Rfam family: Bacterial small subunit ribosomal RNA
Source: RNAcentral
GACGAACGCUGGCGGCGUGCUUAACACAUGCAAGUCGAACGGAAAGGCUCCAGCUUGCUGGCGUACUCGAGUGGCGAACGGGUGAGUAACACGUGGGUAAUCUGCCCUGCACUCUGGGAUAAGCCUUGGAAACUGGGUCUAAUACUGGAUAUGACCUUUCUCCUUAUGGGGUUUGGUGGAAAGUUUUUCGGUGUAGGAUGAGCCCGCGGCCUAUCAGCUUGUUGGUGGGGUGAUGGCCUACCAAGGCGACGACGGGUAGCCGGCCUGAGAGGGUGAUCGGCCACAUUGGGACUGAGAUACGGCCCAGACUCCUACGGGAGGCAGCAGUGGGGAAUAUUGCACAAUGGGCGGAAGCCUGAUGCAGCGACGCCGCGUGAGGGAUGACGGCCUUCGGGUUGUAAACCUCUUUCAGCAGGGACGAAGCGUAAGUGACGGUACCUGCAGAAGAAGCACCGGCUAACUAUGUG